Triticum urartu is the source of this 135-nucleotide non-coding RNA. The record is from Rfam. Lineage: Eukaryota; Viridiplantae; Streptophyta; Magnoliopsida; Poales; Poaceae.
UUCAUACUUCCUUCGUCCAGAAAUACGUGUCAUCAAAAUGAAUAAAAGGAGAUGUAUUUAGAUGUAUUUUAGUUCUAGAUACAUCUAUUUUUGUCCAUUUUGAUGACAAGUAUUUUCAGACGGUGGAAGUUGUAA